This 205-nucleotide ribosomal RNA is filed under the name uncultured bacterium. RNAcentral's name for it is "partial 16S ribosomal RNA". It matches the Rfam family "Bacterial small subunit ribosomal RNA", at positions 1296 to 1500 of the family's 1533-position model. The record is from RNAcentral.
GAUUGCAGGCUGCAACUCGCCUGCAUGAAGUCGGAAUUGCUAGUAAUCGCAGAUCAGCAUGCUGCGGUGAAUACGUUCCCGGGCCUUGUACACACCGCCCGUCACACCAUGGGAGUCGGUAACACCCGAAGUCGGUAGCCUAACCGUAAGGAGGGCGCCGCCGAAGGUGGGAUUGAUGACUGGGGUGAAGUCGUAACAAGGUAUC